AGGGUUUGAUUAUGGCUCAGGAUGAACGCUAGCGGCAGGCCUAACACAUGCAAGUCGAGGGGCAUCACGAGGUAGCAAUACUUUGGUGGCGACCGGCGCACGGGUGCGUAACGCGUAUGUAACCUACCUAUAACAGGGGCAUAACACUGAGAAAUUGGUACUAAUUCCCCAUAAUAUUCGGAGAGGCAUCUCUCCGGGUUGAAAACUCCGGUGGUUAUAGAUGGACAUGCGUUGUAUUAGCUAGUUGGUGAGGUAACGGCUCACCAAGGCAACGAUACAUAGGGGGACUGAGAGGUUAACCCCCCACACUGGUACUGAGACACGGACCAG
RNAcentral lists this ribosomal RNA (330 nucleotides) under uncultured bacterium. RNAcentral describes it as "bacterial SSU rRNA". It matches the Rfam family "Bacterial small subunit ribosomal RNA", at positions 8 to 334 of the family's 1533-position model. The record is from RNAcentral.